GACGAACGCUGGCGGCGUGCCUAAUACAUGCAAGUCGAGCGAACAGAUCCUGCUUUUGCUCCGCUCUCGAUUGCCGCGGGCGGGUGUGUCACGUGUGGAAAACCUCCCUUAAUUUCUGGUAUCUCUUCGGGAAACCGGAGCAAACCCGUGAUAAUAUCUUGCACCACUUUGUUCAAUAUUGAAUUACGGUUUUGCUGGCUCUACUAGAUGGAUCCGCGCUGCAUUAGCUGGUUGUGAAGGUAACGGCUUAGCAAGGCAACGAUGCGUAGCCGACCGGAGAGGGUGAUAGGCCACACUGGAACUGAGACACGGUCCAGACUCCUACGGGAGGCAGCAGUAGGGAAUCUUCGGCAAUGGGCGAAAGCCUGACGGAGCAACGCGGCGUGAGUGAUGAAGGUCUUCGGAUCGUAAAACUCUGUUAUUAGGGAAGAACAAAUGUGUAAGUAACUGUGCACGGCUUGACGGUAACUAAUCAGAAAGCCACGGCUAACUACGUG
This 497-nucleotide ribosomal RNA is filed under the name uncultured bacterium. Its description in RNAcentral is "partial 16S ribosomal RNA". It matches the Rfam family "Bacterial small subunit ribosomal RNA", at positions 28 to 507 of the family's 1533-position model. The record is from RNAcentral.